Molecule: ribosomal RNA, 549 nt
Filed under: uncultured archaeon
Lineage: Archaea
Description: bacterial SSU rRNA
Rfam family: Archaeal small subunit ribosomal RNA
Source: RNAcentral
UACUGCUAUCGGGGUCCGACUAAGCCAUGCGAGUUGAAUGUCCGAAAGGGCAUAGCGCACUGCUCAGUAACACGUGGACAACCUGCCCUGAGGACUGGAAUAAUCCCGGGAAACUGGGGGUAAUUCCAGAUAUGUCAGAACUCCUGGAAUGGGUUCUGGCAGAAAGGCUCCGGCGCCUCAGGAUGGGUCUGCGGCCUAUCAGGGUAGUAGUGGGUGUAACGUACCUACUAGCCUACGACGGGUACGGGUUGUGAGAGCAAGAGCCCGGAGAUGGAUUCUGGGACAUGAAUCCAGGCCCUACGGGGUGCAGCAGGCGCGAAAACUUUACAAUGCGGGCAACCGCGAUAAGGGGACCUCGAGUGCUGGGUUACAAACCUGGCUGUUGGGCUGCCUAAAAAGCAGUCUAUAGCAAGGGCCGGGCAAGACCGGUGCCAGCCGCCGCGGUAACACCGGCGGCUCGAGUGGUAACCGCUAUUAUUGGGUCUAAAGGGUCUGUAGCCGGCCGACUAAGUCUCUUGGGAAAUCUGGCAUCUCAAGUGUCAGGCUGCC